ACGGCCGUACCAUGCUGAAUAUACCGGUUCUCGUUAGAUCACCGAAGUCAAACAUCAUUGGGCGCGGUCAGUACUUGGGUGGGUGACCACCUGGAAACACCGCGUGCCGUU
This 111-nucleotide ribosomal RNA is filed under the name Caerostris darwini. Lineage: Eukaryota; Metazoa; Arthropoda; Arachnida; Araneae; Araneidae. The record is from RNAcentral.